RNAcentral lists this ribosomal RNA (479 nucleotides) under uncultured bacterium. Its description in RNAcentral is "partial 16S ribosomal RNA". It matches the Rfam family "Bacterial small subunit ribosomal RNA", at positions 28 to 507 of the family's 1533-position model. The record is from RNAcentral.
GAUGAACGCUAGCGGGAGGCCUAACACAUGCAAGCCGAGCGGUAUUUGUUCUUCGGAACAGAGAGAGCGGCGCACGGGUGCGGAACACGUGUGCAACCUGCCUUUAUCUGGGGGAUAGCCUUUCGAAAGGAAGAUUAAUACCCCAUAAUAUAUUGAGUGGCAUCAUUUGAUAUUGAAAACUCCGGUGGAUAGAGAUGGGCACGCGCAAGAUUAGAUAGUUGGUGAGGUAACGGCUCACCAAGUCAAUGAUCUUUAGGGGGCCUGAGAGGGUGAUCCCCCACACUGGUACUGAGACACGGACCAGACUCCUACGGGAGGCAGCAGUGAGGAAUAUUGGACAAUGGGUUAGCGCCUGAUCCAGCCAUCCCGCGUGAAGGACGACGGCCCUAUGGGUUGUAAACUUCUUUUGUAUGGGGAUAAACCUACUCUCGUGAGAGUAGCUGAAGGUACUAUACGAAUAAGCACCGGCUAACUCCGUG